UAGAGUGUGGGCUGUAACUCUUGACU
This 26-nucleotide non-coding RNA is filed under the name Mus musculus (house mouse). Lineage: Eukaryota; Metazoa; Chordata; Mammalia; Rodentia; Muridae. The record is from RNAcentral.